This 84-nucleotide transfer RNA is filed under the name Butyrivibrio sp. RNAcentral's name for it is "tRNA-Leu". It matches the Rfam family "tRNA". From Rfam's summary of the family: Transfer RNA (tRNA) molecules are approximately 80 nucleotides in length. Their secondary structure includes four short double-helical elements and three loops (D, anti-codon, and T loops). Further hydrogen bonds mediate the characteristic L-shaped molecular structure. tRNAs have two regions of fundamental functional importance: the anti-codon, which is responsible for specific mRNA codon recognition, and the 3' end, to which the tRNAs corresponding amino acid is attached (by aminoacyl-tRNA synthetases). tRNAs cope with the degeneracy of the genetic code in two manners: having more than one tRNA (with a specific anti-codon) for a particular amino acid; and 'wobble' base-pairing, i.e. permitting non-standard base-pairing at the 3rd anti-codon position. The record is from RNAcentral. Lineage: Bacteria; Bacillati; Bacillota; Clostridia; Lachnospirales; Lachnospiraceae. RNAcentral also lists the same sequence under 2 other names.
GUGACCGUGGUGGAACUGGUAUACACGCAGAGCUUAAGUCUCUGUUCCUAUUGUUGGUUGCGAGUUCGAGUCUCGCCGGUCACA